CCUACGGGAGGCAGCAGUGGGGAAUAUUGGACAAUGGGGGAAACCCUGAUCCAGCGACGCCGCGUGAGUGAAGAAGUAUUUCGGUAUGUAAAGCUCUAUCAGCAGGAAAGAAAAUGACGGUACCUGACUAAGUAGCUCCGGCUAACUACGUGCCAGCAGCCGCGGUAAUACGUAGGGGGCAAGCGGUAUCCGGAUUUACUGGGGGUAAAGGGAGCGUGAUCGGCAGCGCAAGUCUGGAGUGAAAUGCCGGGGCCCAACCUCGGAACUGCUCGGGAAACUGUGAAGCUGGAGUGCGGGAGAGGUAAGCGGAAUUCCUGGUGUAGCGGUGAAAUGCGUAGAUAUCAGGAAGAACACCGACGGCGAAGGCAGCUUACGGGACUGUAACUGACGUUGAGGCUCGAAGGCGUGGGGAGCAAACAGGAUUAGAUACCCGUGUAGUC
RNAcentral lists this ribosomal RNA (440 nucleotides) under uncultured bacterium. Its description in RNAcentral is "partial 16S ribosomal RNA". It matches the Rfam family "Bacterial small subunit ribosomal RNA", at positions 338 to 795 of the family's 1533-position model. The record is from RNAcentral.